GCCGCGUGCAGGACGAAGGCCUUCGGGUUGUAAACUGCUUUUGUACGGAACGAAACGGUCUCUUCUAAUACAAGGGGCUAAUGACGGUACCGUAAGAAUAAGCACCGGCUAACUACGUGCCAGCAGCCGCGGUAAUACGUAGGGUGCAAGCGUUAAUCGGAAUUACUGGGCGUAAAGCGUGCGCAGGCGGUUAUAUAAGACAGAUGUGAAAUCCCCGGGCUCAACCUGGGACCUGCAUUUGUGACUGUAUAGCUAGAGUACGGUAGAGGGGGAUGGAAUUCCGCGUGUAGCAGUGAAAUGCGUAGAUAUGCGGAGGAACACCGAUGGCGAAGGCAAUCCCCUGGACCUGUACUGACGCUCAUGCACGAAAGCGUGGGGAGCAAACAGGAUUAGAUACCCUGGUAGUCCACGCCCUAAACGAUGUCAACUGGUUGUUGGGUCUUCACUGACUCAGUAACGAAGCUAACGCGUGAAGUUGACCGCCUGGGGAGUACGGCCGCAAGGUUGAAACUCAAGGAAUUGACGGGGACCCGCACAAGCGGUGGAUGAUGUGGUUUAAUUCGAUGCAACGCGAAAAACCUUACCCACCUUUGACAUGUACGGAAUUCGCCAGAGAUGGCUUA
Molecule: ribosomal RNA, 623 nt
Filed under: uncultured bacterium
Lineage: Bacteria
Description: bacterial SSU rRNA
Rfam family: Bacterial small subunit ribosomal RNA
Source: RNAcentral